Molecule: microRNA, 22 nt
Filed under: Drosophila virilis
Lineage: Eukaryota; Metazoa; Arthropoda; Insecta; Diptera; Drosophilidae
Description: dvi-miR-9543a-3p
Source: miRBase by way of RNAcentral
AAAUAUUGCUUGUUUACUCAGG